Molecule: long non-coding RNA, 2356 nt
Filed under: Octopus sinensis (East Asian common octopus)
Lineage: Eukaryota; Metazoa; Mollusca; Cephalopoda; Octopoda; Octopodidae
Description: uncharacterized LOC118763555
Source: RNAcentral
GGUUGAUAUAAUCAACUAACACCACCCCCACUAAAAAUUUCAGGCUUUGUGCCUGCAGUAGAAAGGAUUAUUAUUAUCAUUAUUAUUAUUAUUAUUAUUAUUAUUAUUAGUGUGACUGCCAUUAUUUUUGUUGUUAUGAGGGCAUUAGAUUGUGAGAAUUACUAAAGCAUUGAGCAACAUGCUUUGUUAAAUUUUGUUAUUGCCCCUUACUUACUGAGUUAAAACCUAAGCUUCCUUUCAACCUUCCAAAUUCAAUAAAAUAAGUACUGAGGCCAAUUUAAUCAGCUGUUUCUGCUCUCAAAAGUUAUGGCCUUUUGCCAAUGUUUAAGAUAUUUAUUUUUGGUAUUGUUAGUAUUAUUUUAAUUAUUAUAUUUUUUAUUAUUAAUAAAUUAUAUAUUUUAGCUUCUUGCAUAUUUUUUCAUUGUAUUUGGAUUGUCAACAGAAUUUUGUGCCUUAACAAAAAAGUAAAAGUAAAAAGAAAUAAAAAAGUAAAAAAAAAAAAAAUAAAAAAGUAAAAAAAAUAAAAAAGUAAAAAAAAGCAACCCCCUUCCUCAAAAGAAUUCAUGGAAUAUCAUUUUUAAGAAUUUUAUUUUCAUUAUCAUAAACUGCUAUUUUUAUAAUUGCUAUUAAUAACUGUUGUCAUAAUAUGAUUAUAACUGGGGAACAAAAAAAUCAUCUUCCAACAAGAGAGAAUUGUAUUUUAUUGAAGAGGUGUUGUUGAUUUAAUGGUGAAAGUACCAACUGACUUACUGCCUGGAUGUUUAUUGUUGUAUGGAAAUCAAAGUUGGGACUGUUAUAGUAUGUUUUUCAAUAACGUCACAAAACAAUUCUGUUGGCUUGUUUCAUUUUUAAAUGUGACUGAAUGUGUGGGUGAGUUAGCUCCUUUAUAUCUCUUGUAGGUGCAGGCAUGACUAUGUGGUUAUCUUUGCUUCAUGGUCACUUGAUAUUCUAUAUUUAGUCCAGCUGCACAGCAUCCUGAGUAAAUAUCUUCUAUCACAUUCUCAGCUUAAUCCAAGUCAUGUAAAUUAACUUGGGUAGAAGAAACUGUGUUGAAACCUAUUGAUGGAUUGUCUGAUAAGUUGUGGUUUCUGCUCCUUUCCUCUCCUCUCCAUUCUUGCUGUCUCAGGAAAGCUUAUGGCACUACUUCAUAUUAUCCAUAUAAAUAAAAUAAAAAGGAGCAUUAUGAAGAAUUCCCAUUUUCUCUUAUUACCAAAAUGCUUCCGAUGGAGAGAAUGUUUUUCCUCUUCUUCCUAGGCUUGUUUGUUAAUUUCACCUUUAUUUGCUCCAGGUUAAGCCACUAAAGCUUCUAUUAUUUAAUUCCCCUGUGAUAAAACAAUUGAACAAAUUACGGGAAAGUUCAAAAUGGAAAUGCAGUUUUAUUCUUUGGGCAAAACCUAUUAUGAAAUUAAGGCUUUUGGUAAAAACAAGAACAUCUCAACAACCUACUUAUCUAUUCCAAAUCUCUUGCUGAUGAUAUAAUUAAUAGUUUUUUAGUUUAAGCCCAAGUUAACCAUAAUAAAUUAGAUCCAUGAUCCAUGAUCAAAGGUAUUCUAUCAAUGACUGUCUUAUCUUUUUGUAGAUCAAGGAUUAGUUUGUCUAUUGUGCCUUACUUUUGAGAUAAAUUUGACUGAUAUUUCUAGCAGGUUGAGCAACCACAUGGGUGCUUUGUCCAGUUGUGGCUUUUCUAUUGAAUUUUUUUCCCCUAAAUUACCAUCAUCAUUUCAUUAAAAAAAUCAUAAGGUACAAAAGAAAAUUACUGAAAAUAUCACAAACAUCAAUGAAACAAAACAACAAGAGGUACAGUAAUAUAUUAAGAGGGUGAAGGAUUCACAGAAUUAUUAGUGUCAGUGGGGAAAAUGCCUUAUCAAAUAUGGUCCAGUCCUUUAUGGUCUGAGCUCGAAUCUGAGGUCAGUUUUGGCUUCCAUUUCUUUGCAGUUGAAAUAAAGUGUCGGUCAAGUGUUAGGAUUGAUGUAAUUGAUACCCUUCCCUCAAAAUUGCUGGCCUUUGUCCAACCCAUGCAAGCAUGUAAUACAGUGAUUAAAUGAUGUACCUAAUUUAGAAAAAGCUAUUAACUGCAUUUUUGUUUUCCCUUGAGACUAGAGGGUUACACUCCCUUUCCUCCUCAAUAAUCUGACACUGGGCAGUGAAGUAUGACAAUUAGCAAGUCUGCAUGUUAAUAACUGCAGUUAAUAAUUCAUCUAUCCACACAAUCUAGUGCUUGUCUAAAAGUCUGCCUAGCUGUGCACUUGUGUAAAGGUCUGCCUAGUCUCAAAGUCUCUAUGUCUGAUGUUUAGUUAUUGAACUAUCUGCCUAUCUUAAUUAUUUUCAACCUGUCUUUCACAUAACCACAGAAUGA